AAUAUUGCACAAUGGGGGAAACCCUAAUGCAGCAACGCCGCGUGAGCGAUGAAGGCCAUCGAGUCGUCCCGCUCUGUCCUACGGGAAGAUAAUGACGGUCCCUUAGGAGGAAGACACGGCGAACUACUAGCCAGCAGCCGCGGUAAUACGUAGGGGGCAAGCGUUAUCCGGAAUCAUUGGGCGUAAAGGGUGAGUAGGCCGCCCUAUAGGUCAGAGGUCAAAGGCUACGGCUCAACCGUAGUAAGCCUUUGAAACCGUAGGGCUUGAGUGCAGGAGAGGAGAGUGGAAUUCCUAGUGUAGCGGUGAAAUGCGUAGAUAUUAGGAGGAACACCAGUGGCGAAGGCGACUCUCUGGACUGCAACUGACGCUGAGGCACGAAAGCGUGGGUAGCGAACAG
This 397-nucleotide ribosomal RNA is filed under the name uncultured bacterium. RNAcentral's name for it is "partial 16S ribosomal RNA". It matches the Rfam family "Bacterial small subunit ribosomal RNA", at positions 360 to 775 of the family's 1533-position model. The record is from RNAcentral.